RNAcentral lists this ribosomal RNA (489 nucleotides) under uncultured bacterium. RNAcentral describes it as "partial 16S ribosomal RNA". It matches the Rfam family "Bacterial small subunit ribosomal RNA", at positions 30 to 506 of the family's 1533-position model. The record is from RNAcentral.
AUUGAACGCUGGCGGCAGGCCUAACACAUGCAAGUCGAACGGUAACAGGAAGAAGCUUGCUUAUUUGCUGACGAGUGGCGGACGGGUGAGGAAUGUCUGGGAAACUGCCUGAUGGAGGGGGAUAACUACUGGAAACGGUAGCUAAUACCGCAUAACGUCGCAAGACCAAAGAGGGGGACCUUCGGGGCUCUUGCCAUCGGCUGUGCCCAGCUGGGAUUAGCUAGGAGGUGGGGUAACGGCUCACCCAGGCGGCGAUCCCUAGCUGGUCUGAGAGGAUGACCAGCCACACUGGAACUGAGACACGGUCCAGACUCCUACGGGAGGCAGCAGUGGGGAAUAUUGCACAAUGGGCGCAAGCCUGAUGCAGCCAUGCCGCGUGUAUGAAGAAGGCCUUCGGGUUGUAAAGUACUUUCAGCGGGGAGGAAGGGAGUAAAGUUAAGACCUUUGCUCAUUGACGUUACCCGCAGAAGAAGCACCGGCUAACUCCGG